GCCGGGGCCCGUGGUGUAGUUGGUCACACGUUCGCUUCAUAUGCGAAUGGUCAUGGGUUUGAUUCCCAGCCCCGGCA
Non-coding RNA from Aedes albopictus (Asian tiger mosquito), 77 nucleotides. Lineage: Eukaryota; Metazoa; Arthropoda; Insecta; Diptera; Culicidae. The record is from the annotation of a RefSeq genome assembly.